GGAUAACCUGCCCUAAGGAAGGGGAUAACCUCGGGAAACUGAGGAUAAUACCCUAUAGGAUACCGAUGCUGGAAUGCCCGGUAUCCCAAAGCUCCGGCGCCUUAGGAUGGAUCUGCGGCCGAUUAGGUCGUUGUUGGGGUAACGGCCCAACAAGCCGAUAAUCGGUACGGGUUGUGGGAGCAAGAGCCCGGAGUUGGAUUCUGAGACACGAAUCCAGGCCCUACGGGGCGCAGCAGGCGCGAAAACUUUACAAUGCGGGCAACCGUGAUAAGGGAACCUCGAGUGCCUGUACAUGCAGGCUGUCUGGGUGUCUAAAACACACCCAAAGAAAGGGCCGGGCAAGACCGGUGCCAGCCGCCGCGGUAAUACCGGCGGCUCGAGUGGUGGCCACUUUUAUUGGGCUUAAAGCGUUCGUAGCUGGGUUGUUAAGUCUCUUGGGAAAUCUGGCAGCUUAACUGUCAGGCGUCUAAGAGAUACUGGCAAUCUAGGAACCGGGAGAGGUGAGGGGUACUUCGGGGGUAGGAGUGAAAUCCUGUAAUCCUCGAGGGACCACCUGUGGCGAAGGCGCCUCACCAGAACGGCUUCGACAGUGAGGGACGAAAGCUGGGGGAGCAAACCGGAUUAGAUACCCGGGUAGUCCCAGCCGUAAACGAUGCGCGUUAGGUGUGUCGAUGACCACGAGUCAUCGAGGUGCCGAAGGGAAACCGUGAAACGCGCCGCCUGGGAAGUACGGUCGCAAGGCUGAAACU
Molecule: ribosomal RNA, 749 nt
Filed under: uncultured archaeon
Lineage: Archaea
Description: bacterial SSU rRNA
Rfam family: Archaeal small subunit ribosomal RNA
Source: RNAcentral